This 253-nucleotide ribosomal RNA is filed under the name uncultured bacterium. Its description in RNAcentral is "partial 16S ribosomal RNA". It matches the Rfam family "Bacterial small subunit ribosomal RNA", at positions 524 to 776 of the family's 1533-position model. The record is from RNAcentral.
UACGUAGGGUGCAAGCGUUGUCCGGAUUUAUUGGGCGUAAAGAGCUCGUAGGCGGUUUGUCGCGUCUGCUGUGAAAACCCGAGGCUCAACCUCGGGCCUGCAGUGGGUACGGGCAGACUAGAGUGCGGUAGGGGAGAUUGGAAUUCCUGGUGUAGCGGUGGAAUGCGCAGAUAUCAGGAGGAACACCAAUGGCGAAGGCAGAUCUCUGGGCCGUAACUGACGCUGAGGAGCGAAAGCAUGGGGAGCGAACAGG